RNAcentral lists this ribosomal RNA (320 nucleotides) under uncultured eukaryote. RNAcentral's name for it is "partial 18S ribosomal RNA". It matches the Rfam family "Eukaryotic small subunit ribosomal RNA", at positions 1470 to 1796 of the family's 1831-position model. The record is from RNAcentral.
CCCCUAGAUGUUCUGGGCCGCACGCGCGCUACACUGAACAGUUCAACAAGUCUUAACCUUGGCCGGUAGGUCUGGGUAAUCUUUGAACGCUGUUCGUGAUUGGGAUAGACCUUUGCAAUUAUGGGUCUUCAACGAGGAAUUCCUAGUAAACGCAAGUCAUCAGCUUGCAUUGAUUACGUCCCUGCCCUUUGUACACACCGCCCGUCGCACCUACCGAUUGAAUGGUCCGGUGAAAUCUCGGGACGGCGGCUUGGUCGCUUGCGUCCGACUGCUGAAACUUGAUUAAACCAUAUCAUUUAGAGGAAGGUGAANUCGUANCA